CCGUAACUAUAACGGUCCUAAGGUAGCGAAAUUCCUUGUCGGGUAAGUUCCGACCCGCACGAAAGGCGUAAUGAUUUGGGCACUGUCUCAACGAGAGACUCGGUGAAAUUAUAGUACCCGUGAAGAUGCGGGUUACCCGCGACAGGACGGAAAGACCCCAUGGAGCUUUACUGUAGCUUGAUAUUGAGUGUUGGUACCGCUUGUACAGGAUAGGUAGGAGCCGUAGAGAUCGGAACGCUAGUUUCGAUGGAGGCAUUGGUGGGAUACUACCCUAGCUGUAUGAACACUCUAACCCGCGCCACUGAUCGUGGCGGGAGACAGUGUCAGGUAGGCAGUUUGACUGGGGCGGUCGCCUCCUAAAAUGUAACGGAGGCGCCCAAAGGUUCCCUCAGAAUGGUUGGAAAUCAUUCGCAGAGUGUAAAGGUAGAAGGGAGCUUGACUGCGAGACUGACAAGUCGAGCAGGGACGAAAGUCGGGCUUAGUGAUCCGGUGGUUCCGUAUGGAAGGGCCAUCGCUCAACGGAUAAAAGCUACCCUGGGGAUAACAGGCUUAUCUCCCCCAAGAGUCCACAUCGACGGGGAGGUUUGGCACCUCGAUGUCGGCUCAUCGCAUCCUGGGGCUGUAGUCGGUCCCAAGGGUUGGGCUGUUCGCCCAUUAAAGCGGUACGCGAGCUGGGUUCAGAACGUCGUGAGACAGUUCGGUCCCUAUCCGUCGCGGGCGCAGGAAAUUUGAGAGGAGCUGUCCUUAGUACGAGAGGACCGGGAUGGACGUUCCGCUGGUGUACCAGUUGUGCCGCCAGGCGCAUCGCUGGGUAGCUAUGAACGGAAGGGAUAAACGCUGAAAGCAUCUAAGUGUGAAGCCCCCCUCGAGAUGAGAUUUCCCAUUCCUAUAUGGAAGUAAGACCCCUGAAAGAUGAUCAGGUAGAUAGGCUGGAAGUGGAAGUGCAGCGAUGCAUGGAGCGGACCAGUACUAAUCGGUCGAGGACUUAACCAA
RNAcentral lists this ribosomal RNA (993 nucleotides) under human gut metagenome. RNAcentral describes it as "bacterial LSU rRNA". It matches the Rfam family "Bacterial large subunit ribosomal RNA", at positions 1934 to 2925 of the family's 2925-position model. The record is from RNAcentral.